UAAGCCCUAAAAGAAGAAAUGAUUUGAACUCAGAGAGCCCUACCCAAGAAGCCAACACGGAUCCUCUGUCUUUAGUGGACAAUGCGACCUGCUAGUAGCUUCUGAGGAGAAGACUCCGUUGGGUGGAAGGAAUUCCUGUUUCUGGAGAGCAUCUGAUGUCAUCUCCUUUGCUUUCAUACUACCCAGAAGAGGUAUGCCACACUGGGAGAAAUUAUAUGGCCAAGAAGGAUGUCAUGCCACCAGACACAUCAACUCAUGCUGGAGACCCAACGAGAAACUUUUGUCACCCAAUGGGACCAUGCCAACACAGGCGUCUCACAGAAGAAAAAUAGGUCAGAGCGUCUGAAUGAAAAAACAUGAUGAGAAGACUGGCUUUGAAAGGCUCACAGUAUAAACCAUAGAAGUAUCCCUUAGAGGCUACAUAAACCUUACCUUGCAUAAAGCAUACUUUAGAAAUUUCAACUGGUGUUUUUGAAGUUGAGUGAAGACAUCUCAGAGUUGGUUGGUAAUUCUGAGUCACAGUUUCUCUUUAGAUGCAAUGUUCUAAUAUGUUAAAACAAAGCCUGACAUUGCUGGCUUGUGCGGUAGGAUCAAGAAUUGACAAAUGGGACCUCAUAAAAUUGCAAAGCUUCUGUAAGGCAAAAGACACUGUCAAUAAGACAAA
This is a long non-coding RNA of Mus musculus (house mouse), 664 nucleotides long. RefSeq annotates it as predicted gene, 34628. The transcript has 4 exons. NCBI's taxonomy places the organism in Eukaryota, Metazoa, Chordata, Mammalia, Rodentia, Muridae. The record is from RefSeq and is a predicted model, not a curated record.